GCCCCGGUAAACGGCGGCCGUAACUAUAACGGUCCUAAGGUAGCGAAAUUCCUUGUCGGGUAAGUUCCGACCUGCACGAAUGGCGUAAUGAUGGCCAGGCUGUCUCCACCCGAGACUCAGUGAAAUUGAACUCGCUGUGAAGAUGCAGUGUACCCGCGGCAAGACGGAAAGACCCCGUGAACCUUUACUAUAGCUUGACACUGAACAUUGAGCCUUGAUGUGUAGGAUAGGUGGGAGGCUUUGAAGUGUGGACGCCAGUCUGCAUGGAGCCGACCUUGAAAUACCACCCUUUAAUGUUUGAUGUUCUAACGUUGGCCCGUAAUCCGGGUUGCGGACAGUGUCUGGUGGGUAGUUUGACUGGGGCGGUCUCCUCCUAAAGAGUAACGGAGGAGCACGAAGGUUGGCUAAUCCUGGUCGGACAUCAGGAGGUUAGUGCAAUGGCAUAAGCCAGCUUGACUGCGAGCGUGACGGCGCGAGCAGGUGCGAAAGCAGGUCAUAGUGAUCCGGUGGUUCUGAAUGGAAGGGCCAUCGCUCAACGGAUAAAAGGUACUCCGGGGAUAACAGGCUGAUACCGCCCAAGAGUUCAUAUCGACGGCGGUGUUUGGCACCUCGAUGUCGGCUCAUCACAUCCUGGGGCUGAAGUAGGUCCCAAGGGUAUGGCUGUUCGCCAUUUAAAGUGGUACGCGAGCUGGGUUUAGAACGUCGUGAGACAGUUCGGUCCCUAUCUGCCGUGGGCGCUGGAGAACUGAGGGGGGCUGCUCCUAGUACGAGAGGACCGGAGUGGACGCAUCACUGGUGUUCGGGUUGUCAUGCCAAUGGCACUGCCCGGUAGCUAAAUGCGGA
Molecule: ribosomal RNA, 843 nt
Filed under: Escherichia coli
Lineage: Bacteria; Pseudomonadati; Pseudomonadota; Gammaproteobacteria; Enterobacterales; Enterobacteriaceae
Description: partial 23S ribosomal RNA
Rfam family: Bacterial large subunit ribosomal RNA
Source: RNAcentral